AUCUGUAUAUGCAUGUGUUCAAGUGUGUCUGUGCAACUGUAUAGGUGUCAGUGCAUGUAUCUAUGUCUGUGUAUCUACAUCUGUAUCUGUGCAGCUGUAUGUGUGGCAGUGUGUAUCUGCAUGUGUGGCGGUGUUUGUACCCGUGUCUCUAUACAUCUGUAUGUGUGUCAGUUGGCAUCUGUAUGUGUCAAUGUGUCUGUAUCUGUCUGUAUGUGUGGCAGUGUUUCCAUAUAUUUGUAUCUACAUGUGUGGCAAUAUGUCUGUGCAACUGUAUGCGUGACAGUGUUUGUAUUGGUGUGUCUGUGUAUCUGUAUGUAUGUUAGUAUCAUCAGUGUACUGUGUAACUUUAUGUGUGGCAGUGUUUGCAUGUGUGGUAGUGUUUGUAUCUGUGACUGUACAUCUGUAUAUGUGGCAGUGUGUGUAUUUGUGUAGCAGUGUUUGUAUCUGUGCAACUGUAUGUGUGGCAGUGUUUGUAGCUGUGUGUCUGCAUGUGUGUCAGUGUAUGUAUCACUGUGUCUGUGUAAUUGUACAGGUGGCAGUGUUUCUGUGUCUGUACAUCUAUAUGCAUGUCAGUGUGUGUACCGUUGUGUCUGUAUUUGCAUGUGUGGCAGUGCUUGUAUCUGUGUAACUGCAUUUGUGUCAGCAUGUGUAUUAAUGUGCCUGUACAGCUGCAUGUGUGUCAGUGUUUGUAUCUGUGUGUCUAUGAAUCUACAUGUGUCAGUGUGUGUCUAUGUAUCUGCAUGUCUAUAUCUGUGUGUGUGUGCGUCAUUGUUUGUAUGUGUAUUUGCAUGUGUGGCAUGUUUGUAUCUGUAUGUCUGUGCAUCUGCAUGUGUGGCAGUGUGUGUGUGUCUGUAUCUGAAUGUGUGGCAGUGUGUGUGUCUGUAUCUGAAUGUGUGGCAGUGUGUGUAUCUGCAAUCUGCACUGUAUAAUAUGUAGAUACCCCGAGACACACAGGUACAAACAAUGACACAAAUAUAGUUGCACAGUUACAUACAUAUAGC
Non-coding RNA from Pelobates cultripes (western spadefoot toad), 1001 nucleotides. Lineage: Eukaryota; Metazoa; Chordata; Amphibia; Anura; Pelobatidae. The record is from the annotation of a GenBank genome assembly.